UUUUCUGCUAUGGGGGAUUUUUGAAGAUCGGUAUAAUGAAUUGGAUCUCUGAUAUAUGAUACACACAUGCAUAUUUUGCUGAUUGUCUGUUGCGGGUACAGGCGUUAGUGAUUGCUUGUUAUUGUUUACUUCCUCCAGUGUUUCCGUGUUAUGUAUGAGGAGGUAACCAUGAGUACAAGUACUUCACAAUAAAUCAGAUUUUGUUUUACUCCAUCGCUGCUGGAUAAUUAUAAAGCUGUACGAUAUGCCAUCGAUAAAUUUGUAAGUUGUAUGGUCAUAAUAAUUCUGUGAUGCAAUUUACAUGAGAUGAAAAUAUCACCGACAGAACAGAUGCUGGAAUCUUAUAAUUGAUGAGGAAUAGGAUUGUAAAAGGGGAAGACGAGUGCAUGCAUUUAAAUCACUCCAUUAUAGCUUUAAUUCCAUUAUUCUCCAUAUGCUUCAUUGCUUUAAGAUAAAAUGACACAUUAAAUUUGUAAAAAGCAACUUAAAAGGUUUAUUUUUAUAUGUUUACUGCAUCUUAAAACUUGGUGUCUUUUAUCAUUUGAGAAAAAAACUCAUUGAUAACGCUCAUGAACGACAUGCAGGACUGAUGGAUGUGAUGGGAUUAAGUAAGGGAUACAAGACUCCAAUGGUCUAUUAUGUCAGAUACGGGACUUGUACGAGCCGCGUAGCGGCGAGUGAUCAGCCCCGUAUCUGACACAAUAGACCAUCGGAGUCUUGUAUCUUACUUAAAACAUUGUUCUAUCUAAAAACAAAUGCAUUUGAACGCACAACAAAAAAACAUGUACAAAUAUACAUUGGUAUAAACAAAUAUAUUUACAUCUUUCGUUUCUGAUUUGUUUUUAAUAUUUAAUAUAUUAGGAAUUCAUAAACUUUAGUGGCACACGAGGUCAAAUCUUGUCUUUAAUUCACAAAAAAACUGUUAGCUCAUCAUUUCAAUUGUCAUAAUACGGUACUCCUCAAAAAAGGGUUUUGUUCUUCAUGGAAAGCAAUUCGAAUGCUUCUAUUGUCUGAAGACUGUACUCAACAAAACUGGUUUUCUUUUUUGGGUGAAUGAGGGUACGUAAAGGGUGUUCGGAAAGAAUCUUUUAGAUAAAACAAAACAUUGAUUUCCCCCGUUCCUUUCUGGAAACCCUAAUAAUAUGAUACUGACACGUAGGCCUAUAACUGGUAUAAAAACAGAAGCCGCAGUCCUCCUUUAGCAUUCAGUCCGGGUGCCUUGAAGAAAUGGAUUCAGAUGGUUGAAAAGUACAUGAGUUUGCGCCCCAGUAGUGGAAAAUGCAAUGCAUUAUAGCUCAGACCAAAAAUCGCUCCUAAGGGGAAUGUAUGGUACGACGACGUCCUAGUCGGGGUACAUCAACUGCAACAGAUUGUGGUCAAAAUGUGUAGAGAGGCAGGAUUAGAUGGGUUUUUUACAAAUCACUCUCUUCGGGCUACUGCCGCCACACGCCCAUAUGCUGCGGGUGUUGACGAGAAACUUAUAGCGGGAAAAAACUGGUCACAUGUCAUCUGCGAUUCGCAACUACAAACGCACCUCCGAGAAACAAUUACACGAGUGUAAGUGAUUUGAUUCAGAAACCGUCCAGUGUCCCCGCCAGGGCCGACGAAAGUGAAGCUCAAUGAAAGUGUUUCCUUUGGAUCGAGAAAAGAAAUAAACAUCACUGCCGGGGAUGUAACAGUGAAUUUGCGACUUCAAUGUGCAUGUAUUUAAAUGAAUGAUUGUGACAUGGAUUUAUAACUGUGGUGCCUAAACGAUUUCAUAUACAGUAAAAUCGGAUUAUACACGAAACACUCAUUUCGUAUAAUUUACUGGAAUAUUUCACGCCUUGAAUAAAUAAUAAAUAUGUUUUCUCGCACAA
Molecule: long non-coding RNA, 1859 nt
Organism: Ostrea edulis (European flat oyster)
Lineage: Eukaryota; Metazoa; Mollusca; Bivalvia; Ostreida; Ostreidae
Exons: 2
Source: RefSeq, a predicted model, not a curated record